RNAcentral lists this long non-coding RNA (8952 nucleotides) under Triticum aestivum (bread wheat). Its description in RNAcentral is "long non-coding RNA (TAES_LNC016569)". Lineage: Eukaryota; Viridiplantae; Streptophyta; Magnoliopsida; Poales; Poaceae. The record is from RNAcentral.
UGAAUGAUACAAGCAAACUCAAGUAAGUUACACAAACUUACUUGAGCAAUAUCACAAUAUAUGGAAGUUUAUAACACAAGUUAGCAAUUCACACUAAUCACAAUGUAUAUCAAUAGUACCAAGUAUGAAUUGCGGAAUAUGAAGUGUAGGCCUAAAUAAUCUCUACAAGGAAAUGGCCAACACAAUAUAAUCAACCACCACAAUAUAAUGAGGACAACAAGAUAUAGUGAAUGCACGGUCAAAUGACCAAAGUAAACCACAAGUAAGGAGUUAGGGUUAGGGAUAACCAAAGUCACGGAGACGAGGAUGUAUCCCGAUGUUCACUUCCUUGGAGGGAAGCUAGUCACCGUUAGAGAGGUGGAUGUUACCAAGAAGGCACACCAACGCCACGAAGGCUCACCCUAUUCUCCUUGAGAUAUCACCAUGAAGGCGAUUCUCAACCACUAGUGGUAGACCUUGAGGCGGCCUCCAAACCUUCACAAACUUUCCGGGGGACAAAUCACAAGUUGAUUCCUCACCGGAGCACUCCUACCACCUAGGAGUCUCCAACCUCCAAGAGUAACAAGAACAAAGGGGAAAUGCUCAAGACUUGCUCAAAUCACGAAUUCCUUUGGUCAAGAGAAGGAGAGGGAGUGGAUCUUCACUUGAGUGGAAUCUCUCUCAAGAACUCUCACAAAUCUCUCCGGGAUCUAAGAUUUGAGGUAGGAGAAAGGAGAGGGAGCUUUUCUUCAAGUGUGGGUCAAGAUAGUUGUGUUGCUCAACCCCUCCACGAAGUGGUGAAGGGAUAUUUAUAGUAUGGGCACAAAUCUGGCCGUUAGGGGGGAAUUCUGCUCAGGAAAGUGUCGGACGUCCGGUGGAUUACCGGACGUCCGGUGGCAAAACAGGCACCGGACGUCCGGUGGAACACCGGACGUCCGACGGCUGUAGCACGCCAUCAGAUGAAUGUAUCAGGAUAUUUGCGAAAACAGGUUUGACGGACGUCCGACAUUUUUUGGACGUCCGGAGACCGGACGUCCGGAACUUACCAGAUUUCCGUCCGUUUGAUUCUGGAUUGGCGCACCGGAUUUCCGGACGUUACCGGACGUCCGGCCAAAAUAACAGCAGGAACCCCAAAACUAAAACAUGCAUAACUUUCACAUCCGGACUCCGAUUUUGAUGAUCUUGGGCUCGUUUUGAAGCUAUGGAAAAGGUCCAAGUCCUCAGAUAGAGAAACACCCAAAAUAAACCAAAAUGGAGGGUUCAAAUUAUGCAAAGGUUAGAUCAUAUAUUUUGGGAAACUAUUUGGCUUUGGCUUUUCUUUGGUAUAUAGGAUAUGAGUGAAAUUGUGUAUAGAAGAUGUUGACUUGAGAAAAUCCAUCACAAACCCCUUUGCUCCCCUCUUAAUAGUGCGGGAUCCCUAUAACUCAAGAAUCAUAAAAAUAGCUACACUACAUAGCUAUCAAGAAUCCAUUCUUGAGUGUAUAUGUUUCUUUGGUGGUCAUCACCCCCCAACACUAACGUCAAAGGAACUAAUACCUUUGACACGAUCCAUUCACCUGAGCUUGAUGUUGAUGUUUCUUCCUGGCUCAAGAUGAAGGCAAGACAUUGGUGAAGUCUUCAAGUCUCUCCCCCAUACACAAUGUGGGGAAGCUUUGCUUUGUAUUCAUCUUCACCUGUCCAUUAUGUGAUCAUCCACAAGCUUCAAGCAUGUAACCCUUUGGGAUGGUUAUCUUGAACUUGCCCUUGUCAACCAUGAUCACCAAACACUUGAUGUCAUCCUCUAAUAGACACUUGAAAUCUCUUUCUCGACGCGAGCCCAUGAGAAUCACCUAACCCUCAAAAACAUAGACAACACAUAGUAUGGGUUAGUACACAGAGUGUAAUUGAUAAUUUCUUAUCAUACCACAAGAUCCUAUGUGGUGCAUCAUUUGCGCUCGUGUGUUGACCAUUUAGAGUUUGAUCUUUGAGCUUCAUCUUGGUCAACCUAUAUCUCUACUCCAUGUUUAAUCUUGACGUCUUGAAGGGUAUAUUGAAUUCUUCACUUGAAUGGCUUGCUUGAAUACUUGAUCAAUCAUGACUCAACACGUGAGUCCAUUAUGAUCAUAUCUUUGAGCCACUCCUAGAGUUCAUCAUUCAAAUCAUCCUUUUAAGAUCUUGAUCCAUUAUGGCUCAAACCAUAGCUCUAAGCAUGGAACCAUAAGAUACUUCAAUGAACUUCAUUUUGAUCAUCUCAAUGUAAUUGUUGCUUCAAAGGAGUUGUCUUCCAUUAUUCUUCAAUCACAUUCCAAUGGGACUAACCUUCAAAUGUAUAUCUUAAUGCAAACAUUAGUCCAUAAGGAUUGUCAUUAAUUACCAAAACCACACAUGGGGACAACAUGUACUUUCAGUCUCCCCCAUUUUGGUAAUUGAUGACAAUCUCAACAAGAGGGUUCAUAUAAUGAAUUUUUAAACAAGCACACAAUUUUUUUCGAGGAUAAAUUGUAUACUUGCGGUGAAUAGCAUUAUUCAAAGAAACUUGAUGAUAUCAAAACCAGUUGUACUAACAUCAAAACACUACACAAGCAUUUGAUGUUAGUAAGACCACAAUAUAAAGAGUAAGCUCCCCCACAAUAUAUGCAUGUGUGAAUGAACUUUGAAUUUCAUUGCAUAUAUUGGUUGAUAUAAACUAGUCCGAGAUUUCUCUAUAUAUUCAUUCAUGCAACAAGCAUAUAUAACUAGGGUGAAUAGCAUGAAUGACAACAAGAACUACAAAAGAUAUUUAUUUUAAACCCUCUAAACUUCUCCCCCAUUGGCAACAAAUGCCAAAAUGGAAGACAAAACAUCUAGAAGACCAAUAUAGUAUGAGUUCCUCCUUGAUGUGUGCAUAUCACAAGAUGUGAGUGAACGCAAAUGCACAUAUUCAAUAAUGAACAAUUUGAGGAGCUCAGAAUCUAUAAAAUGCAACUAGAUAUGAAGAUACUAAGACAUGUGAGGAAAACAGUCAAAACACAUGAGUGCGCAAGAUUAUAUGCCAAACAUACAAGCACUCACGUCACAACCUCUUACCGAAACCACCAUAAGAAUAAGAGGAAACAAACAAAGUGGCCGGCAAGGAAUAAAUGAUACCAAGGAAAGAUAUGAACUUUCUCAUGUAUAAGAAAUUUCUGAGUGGCCAAUCAUAAUCAUGAUAUGUAUCCGCAAAGAAACUUUGCAAACACAAAAUACAUGCAAUUGAUAAGAAUAUUAUAUACAGAAGUGAAUCCAAUAUUAUACAACUGAAACCUAGUGAUAAUAGCAAGGCACAUGGCACAAAUUGAUCUCAUUUGCAUAACACAAAGUGAAGCAAGCAAUCAAAUGAUCCGAUGAGCCAAAAGGAUAAAAGAAUAUUAUAAUUUGGGCAAAUGAGUGUUCUAAGGAAAAUAGAGAAGCUCCCCAUGAUUUGUGCACUAUUUAGAAUUUUUGUAUUUGGAUACAAGUGCACAAAAUAGGAUCAUCACUCCCCCAAAAUCAAUAGGAACACAACACAAUUUCAAGCAGGCAUAGAUAGGAAAGGAAGCCUAGCAUUUGCAACAAAGAUAUGGUUGAGCACCAUGUAAAUGAGGCAACCUAAGAAUAGGCACAACCAAAAUGAUGUGUGUGAGUCACGUCAAAGCACUUGAGAAGACUAGUAUAAGGAUGAGAAUUAAGCAUCAACAUAGCCUUGAGUAAAUGAGAUAUAAGGUGCAAGACAUGUCCUUCCCACACACAUGAAGUUAAGAAGGUCACACACACAUCAAGCAAAUGGGUUCACACGCUCACUAAUAGCAAACUAAAAAUCAAAGCUUGUGACAACCCAUGAUGAAGAUAGGAAAUAAUAGGCUUGUCAAGACAAGCAUGAGGACACCAAUCUUCACCAAACAUGAGUGCACUAAGAUGCAAAGAGGUAAGACAUGCACUCAUUCAACAAAUGCUUCCAUGGAGCCACCAAAAGGAUAUAAAAAGUGAAUGAAAUGGUGGACAUGAAAGAAUAGGGAUAUCAUCUAGAGAUGUAACUUCUCUCACGUGUAUAAGAUACUAGGUAGAUGAUAGCCACAAAGAAGGAUGUACACAUAAAAUAGUUACAAAAGGAAGGAAUAAGAUAUCCAAACGGGAGUCAUAAAAUAUACCAAUGAGAUCUUUGCUUGAAAGCAUAGCACAUGGCUUAAUAUAAUCUUAUUGUAUAUUAAUGAACUCCAAACAUACAACCAUCAAAGACAUCACAACUAGCAACAAGAGAUCAUUGUUGGGAUGCUUUGAGAAAGGAAACAAGUAUCACAGGAACGAGUCAAGAAAUUCAUGCCAUGAUGCAACCUACACAAGGCUGACCUCAUUUCUAUAUAUAUAUGCAUGAAGUAAAUACUUGUUACCGAGAUAGCAUUGGUAUGAAGUUGUAGAUCAAUAAAAUGUCCAAGCUUGGCUCUAAUUUCCUCAUAGUGCCAUCACCUUCAUGAAUAAGCCAAGCAUCCAAUGCUUCUCAAAUGUACCUAAAAUAUUUUAAGUACAAUAUGGUCCCCAAACUUAUUGGGUUCAACGUAGUUAGCAUAACUACAACACAUAGGGUAAAACCACUUAAAUAUGUGCCUAUUGAUAUGAAUUUGAAUUUCAUGCACAUCAUAGCUAUUAAGAAUUUGAUGGAUUUACCAUAUAUAUAUAUUGGAUCAAAUAAGGCAAACAAGGCAUGUGAAUUUACACAUAGUAAAUAUGCAUGCACAAGCCUACCAAAAUCCAGGGAGAUACAAAUUGGACAAAUGACCACAUAACUGUUAAUACUUCCAAUAACAUCACUAGUCAUUCAUGUUGUCCAAAAUGAAUCAAAGUGACAAAUCAACAUAUGAUAGCACACAAAGUUCAACAUAUGAACCAAGGAAAAAACAAUGAGCAUAUAAUAUAUGCAUUGCACACAUACUCAUAGAAAUAUCCCACUCAAGUAGAUAUAGGACACUAUAAACAAUGAGAUAACAAACUCUCAUAUAGAGCAAUAAGAUGAAUUCGAACAAAAUGGUAUUUCGGGUUAUCAUUCGGUGUAGAAACCAAAUAAGUACAUGAUCAUCUAUACUAACACAAGCAUAACAUGAGAGUUUAGAAAUAACCACAAUGCUUGGAUAGCAUGAUAUUAACAUUCCAACUAUAUAGAUCAUCAUGUAAAGAAAUAAUUGGAAUAGCUUUAAUCAAAUGAUUUUCCAAAUAUGAUUUUAAAGAUAACCAUGGGCAAAACCACACAAGAAUGCCAUACGUAAACAAGACAUUGCAUGCCACAGAGAUAUAAGAUAAUCUCAAAUAUAAAUUCUAAGUGGCAUCCCUCAAUUGUUCAUUAUUAACAAGGAUUGUGAUAUGCACAAAGCAUAUCACUCCCCCAUAAUAUGAUGAUCCAUGUAUUAUCCACAAGAAGCAAAUGAAACCCAACUAAGGAUAAUUAAUGGAUGAGAAUUUGAGUUUCAAAUGAGCUUUACAUACCACAUAGUAACUAGAUAACAUUGUACUAACAAUACUAGGUGGUAUCCCACAUACAUACACAUUUAAGGUUUGUGAUAUCCGUAAAACAUAGCACUCCCCCAUAAUGUGAUGAUCCAGCAAAGGAAGAUUCAAAUAAUGAAGCAAUAAAGGCUUGAAACCACACACGCACAAAUAUAUGAAGUGCAUUGCGACCUACACAUGCUAGAUAACACAAAUCAAUCAUACUAGAAAGCACAACUAUAAAAGUACAUGCUAGGUACAAAACCUAAAAAUGCAAGGGACAUAGUAACUUUCAAUGUAAACAAUGCAAGUACAAGUUACCGCAAAGAGGAGCAUUGAAUUGAUAGAUAUGAUGAUAAUCCACUUGACUUGGCAUUAACCAUAACAUAUGGUGAAAAUAGUUUUUCUUCAUGAAGUAGCCAAGUCUCCAAUGCCAUCCACACACCUAUUGAUCAAGUUUGAGCUUGAUGGUCCCCAACCAAGUUGGGUCCUAAGAAGUUAGUAACAAUAGGCUUGGCAACCCAAAUGGUCUUGUCCACUUUCAAACUUCUUUGGGAACCCACAAACUUGGCAAACACAUUGCCACCAAGAUCCUUCCUUAGUGAAUAAUGAUUAUUGACUAUAGGAGGCUUAGAUAUGUUACCGUUGGGACAAGAUGAAGCUAUGUGUCCCUUCUUACGGCAAAUAUAGCAACAUGUUCUCCCCUUUCUCUUCUUCUUUACCUUUUCAACUUGGAGAGCAUUAUCUUGGUUAGGCAUGGGAAGAGGCCUUUCAUUAUCUUGAUAUUGAACUUGAGGCCACUUCCCUUGAUGCUUCACAUUUGAAGCCUUCUUCUUCAAUGGACAAGAUCUCACAUGGUGUCCAACAUUCUUGCAUUUGAAGCAAGUAAUGUUGGCCGAAUUCUUGACUUGAUCUUGUCCCUUCUUCUUGUUCUUGGACUUCUUCUUGUUGGAGAUGAACUCAAGUCCUGUUUUGUCUUGAGGAUCCUUUUGCACACUCAAGAUAUUAUCACAACAUUUUUCCAAGUCUUUCUUCAAACUAGUGACUUGGGCCUUGAGCUCUUUAUUUUCCUCUACAAGGUUAGUAUUAACAAAAGAACUAGAGGAAGUAGAAGCUUCAUUGUUAGAGCAACAAGGCAUGGUGAGCAAUUCAUUAGAAGAUGUACCAAUAUCAUGUAGAGAGGAAUUGCAAGGACUGGCACAUGACAAUAAGGCAUUUUGAGUAGAAGAUGUGCUAAUAUCCACAUGAGACUCACAUGAUUUUACCUUGGUGACCAUAGCCUCAUGAGCUAACUUUAACUCAUCAUGAGAGAUUAGAAGAUCCUCAUGAGUGCCCGAGAGCUUUUUAUGACUUUCUCCCAAUUUACCAUAAUUGCUAGUUAGCAAAUCAAGUUGAGUCCUUAGCUCAACAUUUUCUGUUAAUAUCGAUGCUUCACACAAGAUAGAGUUAGUAGCACAAGCAUCAUUAUCAAUAUGAGAGUAGCAUGUAGAAGCUAGAGACUCCGCAUGAGUAGCUUGAAGUUCCUCAUGAGACUUAGAGAGUUUGGUGAGCUCUCCUUUGACCUUCUUGUAGUCAAGGUCAAGGUGCUCAAAAUCCUCUUUAAGUUUACAAUGAGUAACUUCAAUCUCUUCUUUUAAAGACCUCAAGUCACUAAGACAUUGAUGAGCCAUAGCAAGUUCAUGUUCAAGUUGUUCACUUUUUGCUUGCUCGUAAAGAAAUAAGUCGUUACAUUUUUGAAAGCAAGCAAGAACAUCUUGGAGCCUUUUAUAAGUGUUAUUUUUAGCUCUACGAAGAGUUUUCCCAAUCUCAUAGAGAUUUUGAGUCAAGACUUCGUCAUCUUCCUCAUUACAACUAUCAUCAUUAUCACUAAGAGAAGAUGAUACCUCGUCAUUACCUCUUGCCAUGAGGCACAUGUGAACAAAAGGGGUUGAUGAUGAUUCUUUUGGAGAAGAGGGUUCUUCAUCAAUCAAGCAUGCCUCAUCUUUCUUGAUUUCCUCUACAUGGUUAGUCAUAGAAAAACUAGAGGAAACCAAAACAUUUAUAUCAUGGCAACAUGGGAGAUCAAGCAUAUUAUCACAAAUGAGCAUAACACCAUCAUUACAUGAUAUUUCUUCACUCACCAUGUCAUUACCUUGUGGUAUGCCACAUGUUGGUGAAGUGAAAGAUGUUGAGGUAUGCAAGUAAUCGGAGGUGGAAGCAAUAGAGAGCUCUUAAUGAUUUAAAAAUGUGGAGAACUCCUCCAUUAACUCCCCAAAAAGAAUAUUGUCUUCAUGAAGAUUGGACCCACCAUAUAUAUCUUCAAUUUUGGUCCAAGCAUCAUGAGCCAACGAACAAGACGAGAUUGACUUGAACACCUCAAAGGUUAUAGCUUGGUGAAUGGUACUUAAAGCUUCACUAUAAAGAUGCAUAUCACCAAGUGACGGACAUUGUCCAUCCUUUAGAUUUGAAUUUCCUACAACCACAAUCUGCAAAGCAUUUGGACCCAUGGCCCGAAAAUGACAAAGCAUGUGUAAUCUCCACAUAAUGUAAUUUGUUCCAUUAAAACAAAAUGUGUCAUCAUGCACUAGUUCACUAGUCGACAUCGUUACUCUCUAGGCGGUUAAGCCUAAUAAGGAGAGACCUUGCUCUGAUACCAAUUGAAAGGACCAUGAUGUCGCCUAGAGGGGGGUGAAUAGGCGUUUUAAAAUCUUUUACGGAUUUGGAUAUAUCCUAAUGCGGAAAUAAACUAAGCGGAUACUUUUCAAGCACAAAUCUUAAAUAUACUAGGCUCACUAAGUGCACCAACAACUUAGCAUAAACAAGAUGAGAACAACACGAUAUGAGUAAGCACAAGUAAGUCACACAAACUUACUCAGUGUAUAUCACGAGGUAUGGAAAUGAAUAAUACACACAACCACAAGUAAGCAAUACAAGCUUACACAAAUUGUAUCACAAUAUAUGGAAUUGAAUGAUACAAGCAAACUCAAGUAAGUUACACAAACUUACUUGAGCAAUAUCACAAUAUAUGGAAGUUUAUAACACAAGUUAGCAAUUCACACUAAUCACAAUGUAUAUCAAUAGUACCAAGUAUGAAUUGCGGAAUAUGAAGUGUAUGCCUAAAUAAUCUCUACAAGGAAAUGGCCAACACAAUAUAAUCAACCACCACAAUAUAAUGAGGACAACAAGAUAUAGUGAAUGCACGGUCAAAUGACCAAAGUAAACCACAAGUAAGGAGUUAGGGUUAGGGAUAACCAAAGUCACGGAGACGAGGAUGUAUCCCGAUGUUCACUUCCUUGGAGGGAAGCUAGUCACCGUUAGAGAGGUGGAUGUUACCACGAAGGCACACCAACGCCACGAAGGCUCACCCUAUUCUCCUUGAGAUAUCAUCAUGAAGGCGAUUCUCAACCACUAGUGGUAGACCUUGAGGCGGCCUCCAAACCUUCACAAACUUUCUGGGGGACAAAUCACAAGUUGAUUCCUCACCGGAGCACUCCUACCGCCUAGGAGUCUCCAACCUCCAAGAGUAACAAGAACAAAGGGGAA